Molecule: ribosomal RNA, 513 nt
Filed under: uncultured bacterium
Lineage: Bacteria
Description: bacterial SSU rRNA
Rfam family: Bacterial small subunit ribosomal RNA
Source: RNAcentral
UAGUCCACGCCGUAAACGAUGUGUGCUAGACGUUGGGGCCUUAGGCUUCAGUGUCGCAGCUAACGCGGUAAGCACACCGCCUGGGGAGUACGGCCGCAAGGUUAAAACUCAAAGGAAUUGACGGGGACCCGCACAAGCGGUGGAGCAUGUGGUUUAAUUCGAGGCAACGCGAAGAACCUUACCAGCCCUUGACAUCCCGAUCGCGGACUUAGGAGACUAAGUCCUUCAGCUUGGCUGGAUCGGUGACAGGUGCUGCACGGCUGUCGUCAGCUCGUGUCGUGAGAUGUUGGGUUAAGUCCCGCAACGAGCGCAACCCUCGUCCUUUGUUGCCAGCAGGUUAAGCUGGGCACUCUAAGGAAACUGCCGGUGAUAAACCGGAGGAAGGUGGGGAUGACGUCAAGUCUUCAUGGCCCUUAUGGGCUGGGCUACACACGUGCUACAAUGGCGGCGACAAUGGGCUGCGACUCUGCAAGGAGGAGCGAAUCCCCAAAAGCCGUCUCAGUUCGGAUUGGA